CUGAGCACUGCUUUUUUUAUUUGAUUUAAGAAUGAUUCAAUAUUCUCAAAAUAAUGAACUCUCAACAUUGAGGAACUUAAAUGGGGAUCCUCAAAGUGAUCAUGUGCCUUCACAUACACCUUCAAGACCUGGAAUAAUGACGGACAAGUUGCAUGGAGUCCUUUUAUCACACUACUUUUUGGGUGCUUUAUUUUUUUUAGCUUUAAAUUUAGUUUUGUGCUCUGCAGAAGUUAGUUAUUUGCAUAUGAGUUGAUAUGAAUGUGGUAAAUAAUGACAGAAUUAAAAUUGAGUGAACAAUUCCUUAAAUGUUGUUACUUUUUGUUGUUACUGUUGGUUUGUGCUGCAUUGAAAGAAAAACCAAGUGGAGAAGAUGUCCUUGAAGAGUACAAAGCCACCAAUACAGGGUCAAAUAAGAUAAGAUGAGUUCUUGCCAACAUAUUGGUGGGGCUCUUGACAGAGACUCUGUAAUGCUGCAGCAUUUAUGAGCAUCUAGAUACAAGCACAAAGUAAUCUUCUAGCCACUGGGAGAAGUAGAGACAAUAUUGACAACUAUUACAUCGCCCUGGAUAAGAAGCUGAUCCCUUGUCAAGUGCUGUCUACAGGAUAGAUGUUGGCAAAACAAAUGUCUCCAAGAGUGAAAGAACUGAGAGUAAUGCUACACAGUGAACAUUACAAUGCAUUUAGAGUGGUUGAUGGUAAUGCACAGGAUUCAGAAUACCUAUGGACCAAGUGAGACAUAUGUUGUGCCUUUGCAUUGUUUUUUCAAGGCAGUGUAAUGUGUGAAUUGUUGUAAGAACCCUACAAUUGUUUUACAUAUUUACAUGUAUUAAAAACAUAGAACAUG
This is a long non-coding RNA of Xyrauchen texanus (razorback sucker), 844 nucleotides long. RefSeq lists it as uncharacterized. Lineage: Eukaryota; Metazoa; Chordata; Actinopteri; Cypriniformes; Catostomidae. The transcript is spliced from 3 exons. The record is from RefSeq and is a predicted model, not a curated record.